RNAcentral lists this ribosomal RNA (555 nucleotides) under uncultured Russula. Its description in RNAcentral is "eukaryotic LSU rRNA". The stretch from base 203 to 356 matches the Rfam family "5.8S ribosomal RNA". The record is from RNAcentral. Lineage: Eukaryota; Fungi; Basidiomycota; Agaricomycetes; Russulales; Russulaceae.
GGAUCAUUAUCGUACAACUGAGGCACGAGGGCUGUCGCUGACUUUUUUGUCGUGCACGCCCGAGUGNUCUCAAACAUCCAUCUCACCCCUAUGUGCACCACCGCGUGNNCCCCUUUCGGCUCGUCCGGAGGGGGGCUCGCGUUUUCACACAAACUUGAUACAGUGUAGAAUGUCCUUCUUUGCGAUAACACGCAAUUAAUACAACUUUCAACAACGGAUCUCUUGGCUCUCGCAUCGAUGAAGAACGCAGCGAAAUGCGAUACGUAAUGUGAAUUGCAGAAUUCAGUGAAUCAUCGAAUCUUUGAACGCACCUUGCGCCCCUUGGCAUUCCGGGGGGCACACCCGUUUGAGUGUCGUGAAAUUCUCAAAACCUUUUCUUUUGAAAAGGAUUUUGGACUUGGAGGCCUUUUGCUGGNUUCGCAUUGAAGCGAGCUCCUCCUAAAUGGAUUAGUGGGGNCUGCUUUGCCGAUCCUUGACGUGAUAAGAUGUUUCUACGUCUUGGNUUUGGCACCGCACCCGCUCCUAACCGUCUCAUCGACAAUGAUGGCGUUCCGG